AGCUCCAGUAGCGUAUAUUAAAGUUGUUGCAGUUAAAAAGCUCGUAGUUGGAUUUCUGGUUGACCAAGAUGGCCCGGUUCCUCAUUGGAGCUGAGUGCCGUCCUUUGCGUUUACCAUCCUUCCAGAGAGUUGUGCCUACCGCUAGUCGGCCGGGUGCUGCGAUCUGGAUCAUUUACUUUGAAAAAAUUAGAGUGUUUCAAGCAGGCUUACGCUUUGAAUACAUUAGCAUGGAAUAAUAAUAUAGGACUUUUGGUUCUAUUUUGUUGGUUUCUAGGACUGAAGUAAUGAUUGAUAGGGAUAGUUGGGGGUGCUAGUAUUUAGCGGCCAGAGGUGAAAUUCUUGGAUUCGCUAAAGACUAACUACUGCGAAAGCAUUCACCAAGGAUGUCUUCUUUAAUCAA
This 400-nucleotide ribosomal RNA is filed under the name phytoplankton environmental sample. Its description in RNAcentral is "partial small subunit ribosomal RNA". It matches the Rfam family "Eukaryotic small subunit ribosomal RNA", at positions 587 to 980 of the family's 1831-position model. The record is from RNAcentral.